AUGCCGCGUGUGUGAAGAAGGCCUUCGGGUUGUAAAGCACUUUCAGCGGGGAGGAAGGCGUUAAGGUUAAUAACCUUAGCGAUUGACGUUACCCGCAGAAGAAGCACCGGCUAACUCCGUGCCAGCAGCCGCGGUAAUACGGAGGGUGCAAGCGUUAAUCGGAAUUACUGGGCGUAAAGCGCACGCAGGCGGUCUGUCAAGUCGGAUGUGAAAUCCCCGGGCUCCACCUGGGAACUGCAUUCGAAACUGGCAGGCUAGAGUCUUGUAGAGGGGGGUAGAAU
RNAcentral lists this ribosomal RNA (281 nucleotides) under uncultured bacterium. Its description in RNAcentral is "partial 16S ribosomal RNA". It matches the Rfam family "Bacterial small subunit ribosomal RNA", at positions 394 to 667 of the family's 1533-position model. The record is from RNAcentral.